CCCGCAACUGCGGUAAUGCCGGCGCUAAUCGCGAUUAUUAAGGGUGUUGCGGUUAAAAAGCGCGUAGUCGGAAGUCGGUCACAGGCAGGCUGUCAGCCUCGGUUGGGCAGCUUGCUUGGGUCUUCUAGCUCGGGGGCCCCGUGCCAUUUAACCGUGGUGCGCGGGAACACGGGCCGUUUACUUUGAAAAAAUUAGAGUGUUCAAAGCAGGCCUACGCUUGAAUACAUUAGCAUGGAAUAAUGGAAUAGGACUUUGGUGCUAUUUCGUUGGUUAAUGGGACCGAAGUAAUGAUUAAAAGGGACAGUUGGGGCCGUUUAUAUUUCGUUGUCAGAGGUGAAAUUCUUGGAUUUACGAAAGAUAAACUUCUGCGAAAGCAUUCGGCAAGGAUGUUUUCAUUGAUCAAGAACGAAAGU
RNAcentral lists this ribosomal RNA (413 nucleotides) under uncultured eukaryote. RNAcentral's name for it is "SSU rRNA". It matches the Rfam family "Eukaryotic small subunit ribosomal RNA", at positions 567 to 990 of the family's 1831-position model. The record is from RNAcentral.